RNAcentral lists this non-coding RNA (22 nucleotides) under Arabidopsis thaliana (thale cress). The record is from RNAcentral. Lineage: Eukaryota; Viridiplantae; Streptophyta; Magnoliopsida; Brassicales; Brassicaceae.
UCUGAUUUCUGGUGGGCUUGUG